RNAcentral lists this transfer RNA (77 nucleotides) under Fervidobacterium sp. Its description in RNAcentral is "tRNA-Arg". It matches the Rfam family "tRNA". Rfam says of the family: Transfer RNA (tRNA) molecules are approximately 80 nucleotides in length. Their secondary structure includes four short double-helical elements and three loops (D, anti-codon, and T loops). Further hydrogen bonds mediate the characteristic L-shaped molecular structure. tRNAs have two regions of fundamental functional importance: the anti-codon, which is responsible for specific mRNA codon recognition, and the 3' end, to which the tRNAs corresponding amino acid is attached (by aminoacyl-tRNA synthetases). tRNAs cope with the degeneracy of the genetic code in two manners: having more than one tRNA (with a specific anti-codon) for a particular amino acid; and 'wobble' base-pairing, i.e. permitting non-standard base-pairing at the 3rd anti-codon position. Lineage: Bacteria; Thermotogati; Thermotogota; Thermotogae; Thermotogales; Fervidobacteriaceae. The record is from RNAcentral.
GUGCCCGUAGCUCAAUUGGACAGAGCGUCAGACUGCGGAUCUGAAGGUUGUGGGUUCAAAUCCCGCCGGGCACGCCA